RNAcentral lists this ribosomal RNA (1407 nucleotides) under Triticum aestivum (bread wheat). RNAcentral's name for it is "partial small subunit ribosomal RNA". Lineage: Eukaryota; Viridiplantae; Streptophyta; Magnoliopsida; Poales; Poaceae. The record is from RNAcentral.
UGCUCAAGAGAAGGGACGCACAAGCAGACUGUGUCAGAUUAUCACCGGAAACGUCAGAAGACAUCAAAAAGGGUUGACUGCAAGGCAAAUAUUAGAGUCAAAAAGAGGAAGGAUGGCAAUUUUGUGAUAGAAAUGGUUGAACUCAACCAUAAUCACAAGAUGCUGGAAAGCCCCGGGAUGCUUUUGCACAUGCGAUUGCACAAAAAAGAUGAUCCUUUGAUAGACCAGUUAGUGAAAGACAUGCAACUGGACAACCACACACACGCUCAGAUGAUGUCAACGCUGUCACGUAUGUCCGGUGGUCUGCAGUACAUGGGACAUACUAGCCGUGACUGGGUAAACAAAAAACAUAAUUUUGCCAGAGAAGAGUCCCAAGAUGACGUCAAGAAACUUCUGGAUUUCUUCGAGAAGAUGCAGAAAAUAAACCCUGAGUUCUUCUAUGACUAUGACGUUGAUGCAGAUAACCGUGUAAGAAAUGUCUUUUGGGCCAACGCAAGUUGCAAAGGAUUGUAUGAAGAUUUUGGAGACUUCGUUACAUUUGACACGACAUAUAAAACUAACAAAUUCCACAUGCCGCUAGGAGUCUUCGUGGGAGUGAACCAUCAUCUACAGAGCACCAUAUUUGUUGUUGCCCUUGUGCGGGAUGAAACAAUACCGUUGUUCGAGUGGGACUAGUGUUCUUCGAUGAAGGCAGCAUUAAAAACUAUCCUCCUAGAUACACUACAUAAGUUGUGUCGGUGGCAUAUUAUGAAGAAGUACAAAGACCACCUCGCCUUGUUGUAUAAGGCGCACGAGAAACUCAAGGGUGAACUCAAUGCUGUGCUGAACCACCCACUAAUGCCAUCAGAAUUUGAACGAGCAUGGAAGGACCUCAUUCAGAGAUACAACUUGCAAAAUGACGAAGUGAUGAAUUCACUAUGGGAUGACAGGCACGAGUGGAUCUCGGCUUACUACAAGAAAAUUUUCUGUGCUCGGAUGAGUUCCACGCAGAGAAGCGAGAGCAUGGACCGCGUACUGAAGAAAAACUUUGUCAAAGAGAAGCAUGAUCUCCAUCUGUUUGCUCAGCAGGUGGACAAGUGCAUUCAAACCAGGAAGGCCGUCGAGCAUGCAAAGACAGUAGCAAAUGAGUCAGAGGUAAAAACAAUAACAAAGUUUGGGUUCAAAGUUCAGCUAUCAAAAGUGUAUACAAGGGCAGUGUUUGCAGAUUUCAAAGAAACACUCUACCACAGCACUGCAUUCAGAGCAGAACGGUGCCCUGGGAACCCGACAAAGUAUCUCGUACACCACUACAACAGAUCGGAUGCAUUUGACUGGGCAAGGCAUAAUUUCCAAGUGGUCGCCGAUGAACAAAAAUGUGUCUACGAAUGUGAGUGCAAACUCUGGACACACACAGGUGCGACUCGCUAG